CCCCCCGGAAACCCGGUGUUUGGUCGGAGGCUAGAAGAGGAAAGACUGGCUGAGAAGCCGGAAGCGGAGGGACAGGGACCUUGGGGGGGCAGAGAGUGAGGUUGCUGCGGCUCCUGGAUCCUGAGAGAGGAAGGGGCUGAAGGGCCCGUCUUUCGGACCCUCAGAGGGAAGAGGGGGCUGCAAACCUGGGACUCUGGAUCCCCCUUUCCACCCCUCCCUCCAUUUCCCAACAGAUAACACACAUUCAUUCAUUCUUUCAACAAGCAGGCAUUUACCAAGCCCGCCGGUGCCAGGCACUGUGCUGGGCUGCUGAGUCGGAAGGAGAGUUGGAGGAGGCAGAGAUGGAGAUGAGCGGAGCAGUGAGCGAUGCGGGCUUGAGAGCGUACCCGCACUCCAUGAGAGAGCCCGACUCCCGCUUUCCCUUGGUUGCCUGGGCAACCAAGUCUCUCUUUUCUGAGCCUCAGUUUCUCCCUCUAUGGUAGAGUCUUGCUGUGUAUCUCGGGUUUGCCUGGAACGCACAAGGAUUGCCGCUGCCUCAGCUUCUCCGGUGCUGGCUGGCAUUACGAGCCUGCGCUACCACUCAGGAAGCGAUCCUUUUCUCUCCUCACUGUCUUCCCUGAAUUACAAAGGUUCUGGUGGAGGCGAGGUGGGUGGUAACCAUGGCUUCCUUGCCCCCCCCCCCCCGCGCGCCUCCCAGAUUCAAACCAGUCACUUGUGGUUUCUGUCUCUUGGACAACCCUGGUGACUGUCCAUACUCAGUUCCCUUGGCCUCCUGUCAGGACCUGUCUUUUCCUCAGGGGGCAGUGUCUGUAUCCAGAGGGGCAGGCCCUGUGUCUCCAACUCAGACUUUUUGGUUUUAUUCUUGUAUUUUUGGCAACUCAGGGCUUCCUUUAUCCUGGGGCACCCUUGGACUCUGGAUACUACUGCCUCUGCCUCCCUCCCAAGUACUGGCACUAUAGAUUUGAGAUAGCGUGUACCCCCAAAUUUAUUUCACUCAGAAAGAGUAUGUCUUGCUUCUUGACUUCCAUUGCUGAAUGGAGAAUGCUGUAUGUAUGUAUAUGUACAUAUGCGUUAUAUAUAUUAAAUAAAACAUAAACAAGC
Molecule: long non-coding RNA, 1101 nt
Organism: Mesocricetus auratus (golden hamster)
Lineage: Eukaryota; Metazoa; Chordata; Mammalia; Rodentia; Cricetidae
Exons: 2
Source: RefSeq, a predicted model, not a curated record